AGCAUGGCAUUGUGGGAUGUCCUAGGACCAUGGCUGGCAGCGAGUGGGAGUCAGGGAGAGCUUUGCAACAGAGACGUGGCGGGAUUUGGCUACAGCGGGAAGGCUUUGGGUUAAACUUGGAAAACUGAGGGCGGCCAUGUAGUCCCCUUCUGGAAGGGCUUUGUACCUGGGCCAUUCCGAGCUGCGUGACCGGGAUGCUCGCUCUGUGGCUGCCACCACUGCCUCCCUGGGGGGCCCUCGAGCAAACACCGUCCUGGAGCGUGUGGAGGGCGCUCAGCAGCGGUGGAAGCUGCAGGUGCAGGAGCAGCGCAAGACAGUCUUCGAUCGGCACAAGAUGCUCAGCUAGAAAAGGUGUUGUCUGCCGAUGGAAUCUGGGAAGAGUGGUGGGGUCCCUGAUCUUGGGUUUGCCUGCUCCAGUCUUCGGGCUUGAGGGGAGGCGGUGGCAGGCCAGAACGGAGUGGAGACGCUUCAGGUGGCCUCAGGAUUGGAACAGUCUGUACCUCCUUACUUCACCCCGACACCCCUUCAGCUCCAAAUCUUGGGAGUGUCCUUACCCUUUGCAAGAUGGAGCCGGGUCAUCAAGAACUCAGUGUGUGGGAGGGAAGCAGUCAGCAUGUGCCCCUUCUCUGCCUGGUUCUUCUGGCCACCUUCCUCCCGGCCCUGAUACCUCAGCCCCAGCUCAGCCUGCUUCCAGCCCUCAGGACGGCUCUGAUGGGGCAGCUGAUGCCACUGAGCUGCCCUGUCUUCAGGGCACACCCAGACACUUGUCCCCCCCCCCCACACCCUUCCACCAGCGUACAGCAGUGUCGCUGCGCCUCGCUCCCUGUGGCCCCUGGCCCCUCACUCCCACCUCAGGGGGCCAGGCCGUCCCCCCGCCUCCCCAGGUCUGCAGUCGCUGAGCCACACAGUUGGUGGGACCACGUGACCAGGAGGCCGAGCAGCGGGUCUGAAUACCACGGCGCCUGUCCUGGGAUUGUCGCUCGGCUCUCAUUCAUUGUACCAGUGCAUGGAGAGAAACGUUUGUCCUUCCGUUGUCUGUAGACCAAGGAAGCCAUCAUUAAAUUGUCUGAUUUCUCUCA
Leptonychotes weddellii (Weddell seal) is the source of this 1079-nucleotide non-coding RNA. The record is from RefSeq and is a predicted model, not a curated record. Lineage: Eukaryota; Metazoa; Chordata; Mammalia; Carnivora; Phocidae.